UGCACUAAGUGGGCCCCACCAAGACAUGUGACCAAAUUUAAUUGGCUCAAGCCUUGAGUGGGACACUUGUCACUCUUAGGGGCUGCCUAUAUAAGGAAAAAUCUGAUGUUUAAGUGUUCAUUUUAUCAUCUUCAACAUUACAAGAAAAGAGAAAAACCUAGAGAUAGAGAAGGGGGGGCUCACGGCCAUGGUGAAAAAAAUCCAUGUUCACCAAGCUUGGUCCAAUUAAUUUUUCCAUGGUGUUGUAAAUCAAAUGGAGGUCUUUGGGAACAUGAAUUGGUCCUUGAGAGCAGCAAGAAUGGUCUUUAAUUGAAGCCAUUAAAUUCAGCAAAUUAAGGAGCAACUUGCUAAGACCUUGGGCAGCCCGAAUCAUAGGUUGGAUUUAGCUUGAGUUUGGAUCGUAUUGGAGAGCGUUUGAGGUACAGACGCACACCCUGGUGAUCCACCUGUUUAGGACACCCUUUCUGCUAUUCGGAGUGCUCCUCUCUUUCCGGAGCUUAUACUUUUGGCCCUCUUCACUAGUGCUUUGGUCUUGCCUAAUCAGGUGAAAUCGUUACUGAAGAGUGACCAGGACAACAUGCCAAAUUUCAGAUUCAGGGUAAAGAGGAAUCAAUUCCAGAUUCCAUAAUGACGUCCAUUUUUUGCUUAAAGCCUUCUCGUAUGGACCUGGCUAGCUAUUGGUCAUCAAGAUGUUUAUUAAUAUCACUCCAAUCAUGGAUUAUGUCUAUGCUCAACCUGGCAUUCUCUUGCACAAAGACGGGGUUUUUAUUCUAAGAAUUACUCAGGAUGACAUGUUCAUCUUCUUGUGUAAAGAGAGAGUCCCUGAAUUUCCAUUCUUGAUCAUUGCAUUUAGUUGGUCCUUAGGAUUUAUCUUUUCAGUGUAUCAAGUUUCAUAUGUUAUGGAGGUAUUGGCUUUAAGUCCCCCUCCCACCUGUAACGUCUCUUUUGCCGAAAAUAAACAUGGUAGGUGUCCUUGCCAAACCCCCCACCACCACGGGAAGUGAAAGACUGGGUGGAUGGCUUGAAAAAAAAAAACUAUAAGGUGAUGAAGUGGACUGGGCUGGGUUAUAUUUCAUUCAGUGAAUUAACUCUCUUUCUGAAAGCAAUUGUGGUUUCUGAAAUUAGGGGGAAAACAAAGAAAAUUAUAUUGACUUCUUUUCACAUUCUUUGUAUGCAAAUAUCAUCACGCCAGGCUUUUGUCCCAGAGAGCAGCUCUAGUGUUAGAUAAUGUUACACGGACCAAUUCUUACUUUGUAGGGGUGGUAAUCAGUGUCUGUUUGUGCUGUUUUUUCCUGAACAAUUAUUUUGUAUAAGUAGACUAAUACAAAAGAGCCUCUAUAUCUGAGGUAUUUCAAAAAAGGAGAUGUCAUAUCUUGGUGUUUACUAAAAUAUACUCCCUCCAGUCAUGUUAUAUGAUGGUGUUGAAGUAGAUACACUUUUAAAAACUUUUGAUAAUAAGUUAAAUAUGUAUAAUAUUCCAAAAGUACGCUUAGUAUAUAAUGGUCAUCCACGUGCACAUGUCGUUAAAGAAAUAUGGGAAUGUUAAAAAAUAAACACUUUUUAAAUAUAGAAAUGUUUAAAUAUUUUUGGAAUAGACCAAAAAAGGAAAGAGUGCCAUUUAAUGGAAGGAGGGAGCUGAUAGAAUAUGAGAUAUAGUACUAAACAACUAAUAUUUGAUCCAGUAAAGCUGACAUUUAUACGAUUGAAAUACAAUCUGGCUGUUGCUUUUUUCAAUUUCAAA
Lycium barbarum (goji berry) is the source of this 1741-nucleotide long non-coding RNA. RefSeq lists it as uncharacterized. The record is from RefSeq and is a predicted model, not a curated record. The transcript is spliced from 4 exons. Lineage: Eukaryota; Viridiplantae; Streptophyta; Magnoliopsida; Solanales; Solanaceae.